CAGCGCAAGGGCGAUGAACCAGCAUCAGCAUCAGAGAUCCGGAGCAUCAGUGUUCAACCCACGCAGCUGGAUAACUGAAAUGAUGAAGCGUUGCGUUGAAUCUCAUCAGGUCCUUCUGGGUCAGAGACAUUUUGUGACAAAGUCAAGAUAACUGAAUCCAACAUCAGAAGGAAAAAUCUGUAAAGCGACAGAACAGGAAAGGAUGUACACAGUGAAUGGGAAAUUAUACUGUUCUGACAAUAUGAAUCCUGCAUCCUGCUGACUCAAACUGGGCACAAGAAUUACAUGGUUUGUUUGGAGGAGAGCAUACCCAAAGGGACUGUCUGAGUGAGUCGAUGAACAUGAGCAUUAAAGAGGAAAAGCGAGACGAUGGAUGGAUGAAAAGAUUGAUGGUUGCGUGGAAGAGCUCUAGGGCUUUUCUGAGAGGAGACGUUACUGUUACAUGAUCCAGCAAGAAGCACAUACAAAGGUAUUUCACUCAAAAAUGUCAUGAUACUCACUCUUAUGUUGCUUGAAACCUGUAUGUAUAGAAGUCUGUGGAAAACAAGAAUAUACUUUUUUGGCAAUUUAUAGUAACCAAAAACACAUUAAAGCACCAUGAAAGGAUUGUAAAAGUAGUCGAUUUGACUCAUGCACUGUGUUUCAAGUCUUCUAAAGCCAAAUUAUAACAUUAAGUCAUGAAAAUACGAAAAUUUAAGUCAUGAUUUACUGAUAAUCUUGGCCUUUCUGGUGACUAAAUGACGGAAUUAACUAAACGUUUCCUUCUUAACCGAUGAAUGUGUUAGAGUAUGAGUAAUUCUAGCAUUUACUGUUUUAAUUGGAUAUUAAAACAGUUAAAUAUGUAAAUGAUUCAGCUACACCCCUCACACACACAUGCACAAAAUGAAUAAUAAACUAUUUGAAUCAUACUUCUGUACAUAAUGUGCCGUCACUUCUGCAUUAGUCACCAUUACUUCAAACUGUCAUUUUUUUUAAUGGAGAAAAACUACAACUGAAGCACAGAGAGAGAGGGAGAUCUAUUCUUACACAAUGACUCAGCACAUCCAGUCUUACACACACACACACACACACACACACACACACACACACACACACACACACACACACACACACACACACACACUGACACUCUAUACUGUGCUUGUACAUUACAAUUUCUCUAUCCUACUAUGUAUGUUUUUGUUCAUCUCUUGGAAAGGUUUGGGUGUCAGGUUUGUGAGAAUUGCUCUAAAAGCUUUUCAGAGCAUUCGUAAUCGGUGCAUCUCUGUGUCAGUUGGUGCAAUUCACUACUGCAAAGAGAAGUAAUUGCGUAAAAGAUUUGUGAGAUAUGAAGUCACAACUGCACAAUAUAAAGAUGCAAUUAUUAGAUAUAAAGUCACAAUCACAAGAAAUAAAGUUGCAAUUACAAAAAAGUAACGUGACAAAGUUGCACUGUGAAGGAUUGCAUUAUUAUAAAAUGCUGAGAUCAAUUUAUUAUAAAGUCACAAUUAUGUGAAAUAAAGUUGCAAUAAAUUAAAAAAUUGCAGUUGCAAAAAAAUUUUGACAUUGUAAA
Long non-coding RNA from Cyprinus carpio (common carp), 1552 nucleotides. RefSeq lists it as uncharacterized. NCBI's taxonomy places the organism in Eukaryota, Metazoa, Chordata, Actinopteri, Cypriniformes, Cyprinidae. The transcript is spliced from 3 exons. The record is from RefSeq and is a predicted model, not a curated record.